Non-coding RNA from Schizosaccharomyces pombe (fission yeast), 229 nucleotides. NCBI's taxonomy places the organism in Eukaryota, Fungi, Ascomycota, Schizosaccharomycetes, Schizosaccharomycetales, Schizosaccharomycetaceae. The record is from the annotation of a GenBank genome assembly.
AAGAAAAAAGAAAAUCAUACGGUAGAUAAAGAGGCUUGACAUAACAAAGGAGAAUCAAUCCCCGCUUCAAAAUCGGUUUUCCAUAAUCGCAAUUGCUGAUCCGUAGAAGCUAGCAACUGGGAGUCGGUGUUAGAACCAACCGAUGAAGGAUUCCAUAACAACUUCGUAACUGGGUAUUCAAGAUCAGUUGCUGCUUGCGCCUUUUCCAAGUGAGAAUUUCCAUCAUCCC